This is a long non-coding RNA of Pantherophis guttatus, 441 nucleotides long. RefSeq lists it as uncharacterized. NCBI's taxonomy places the organism in Eukaryota, Metazoa, Chordata, Lepidosauria, Squamata, Colubridae. The record is from RefSeq and is a predicted model, not a curated record.
UCUUCUGAAGUCAGUAAAAUGAGUAAACCCAGAUUGUUGGGGGCAAUGUGCUGACAUUGUAAACCACUCAUAGAGUGUUCUAAAACACUAUGGAGCAUUAUAUGGUAUAGCAUAAGACAACUUGAAAUCACAUGGUUAGACAGAAGCUGAAAACACCCUGGAGGGGCGCCUGGAGGAUCCAGCAUCUUGUUCAAGACAAUCCAUCUUUUGUUCUCAGAGUAUGCCUUCACAGCCAAAUUCUCUUGGCCUUUGGAAAGCCAGAUGGGUCAGGGCUGGGAAGAUUGGUUGAACGGAUCCGAGUUUAUUAACAGACUGCAGUAUGUAAGGUUGGAUUGAAUUCAGCUUCAGUUAAUGUGGACCAUCUUGUUCUGUGGUUGUAUUAGAAGAAACCGAGUUUAAAAGACCAGCAGUUCUAAUACAAAAUAAAAAUCAGUGCAUGCA